CUUAUAAGUAAAAACCCCAAGAGGGCUUCCAGCAGGUAACAAAGCAGCAGGUAAGAUUUUUUUCUGGAAGAAGGCAGAGUUUAGGAAGCAGCCAGGAUUUGGGGGUUAGUUAGCAGGAGUGGGUGUCCCUCUUAUGUGUUGGUUCAAGAACGGAAGAGCACCAACUGCUCCUUGAGAUUGUGUUUUCAGUGGUGGGAAGGGGAGGUGGCUUGUAAGCAAAAGCAUAGAAUUUUCCUUCUGUCCUCGCGCCCAUCAGAGGCUUUGAAGCCCUCAGGCAGGGCCAGCAGGUUUGUUCCCUAGGCACGCCCCGGGUCAGGACUUCAUUUCCCAGAAUUCCUAGCUUUCCUAACGUACUCGGGCUCCGAGUGCCUGUGUGCGGGAGCGUAGGAAAGCGCGUGCGUGCGUGGGCGUGCUGGUGGAGGUGCAUUCUUCAGAGCCCGGGCUGGGAGGCAGCGCGGCUCUCUCCCCCGCAGUUACCGGCGUCUUGCGCGGCACCUGCAAUCCAAGGCAGGUUGCAAGCGCAGACCCGGCCUGCCCCACCCUCAUCCCCCAGGCUUCGGCUGCUGCCGCCUCUGCCGCCACUGGUCCCCCGGACCACGGACUUUUUCUGCCCCGCACUCUCCGCCUGGCCCUCGGCGUGUCCUGAAGGGAGCGGCCCAGCCCCCAGGGAAUUUCCACUUGAUCCGGGUGCAUCCGCCCCCAAGGCUGUCAGCGUUUCCCAUCGCCGCCUUCCAGUGCGCACCCGGCCCUGAGCGCUGCCUCACUCAAACUUUCCUUAAUGCGUUUUAUUUGGGGAGUACCAGGCGGAAAAUGUCACAUGGGAACUGGAGGGGCAGGCAGGCGAGUGGACAGCGAAGGAGAAAGCAGAGUUGUCAACUGUUACUACUUGCUCCUGAUCCCUUUGCAAAGAAGGGAGAAGUGAAGUGA
Molecule: long non-coding RNA, 927 nt
Filed under: Oryctolagus cuniculus (rabbit)
Lineage: Eukaryota; Metazoa; Chordata; Mammalia; Lagomorpha; Leporidae
Description: lncRNA (ENSOCUG00000036782.1)
Source: RNAcentral